This 597-nucleotide long non-coding RNA is filed under the name Mytilus galloprovincialis (Mediterranean mussel). The record is from RNAcentral. Lineage: Eukaryota; Metazoa; Mollusca; Bivalvia; Mytilida; Mytilidae.
GGCUGCUGUAUCUCAAUUAUUGUGAAAACAACCUGUUAUGUCUUUUUGGGUUGAUCGCCCAAUUUGAUCAAUGUAACGAAACUUUAAACAACUGUCAUACAAGUUAGACCAUUUUCCUUGGAAAGUGUUUUUCACUUUGUUCCGUUGAUAGAUAACGUUUGAUUUUGUAAGUUUACAUAGACUUCCCCUUUUUGAAUUUCAUUGGAGUUUGGUAUUUUUGUAAUACUUUUUUGAAAAGAGAAUUGAAAUAAUGUGCAAAACUGUAAAAAAAUAUGUAUAAAACAAGAUAGAUCAAAUUCUUAAACAAACAAAAAAUAUCUAUCAAAGAUUUAUUAGAACACAAAAACAAUAAGACGAAGUAAAACAUGCUGCCUAAAUUAAAGAGCUUAAUCAAAGAGGUAUUAUUGUAGUAUGUAUGGGACUAAAGACAGAAAUAUCUAUAUUCGCUUUUUAUUUAUAUCCAAAAUGAACUGUAUAUCAACACUUUAUUUUCCUUAAACAAACGAAUCACAAUGUUCUAGGACGGAGGUUAUUCAUUUUAUAAGGAUUGUAUAUAGAAAAAAAUAUGAACAGUACAAAUACAACAUUAUACAACUU